UGCAAGUCGAGCGAACAGACGAGGAGCUUGCUCCUCUGACGUUAGCGGCGGACGGGUGAGUAACACGUGGAUAACCUACCUAUAAGACUGGGAUAACUUCGGGAAACCGGAGCUAAUACCGGAUAAUAUAUUGAACCGCAUGGUUCAAUAGUGAAAGACGGUUUUGCUGUCACUUAUAGAUGGAUCCGCGCCGCAUUAGCUAGUUGGUAAGGUAACGGCUUACCAAGGCAACGAUGCGUAGCCGACCUGAGAGGGUGAUCGGCCACACUGGAACUGAGACACGGUCCGGACUCCUACGGGAGGCAGCAGUAGGGAAUCUUCCGCAAUGGGCGAAAGCCUGACGGAGCAACGCCGCGUGAGUGAUGAAGGUCUUCGGAUCGUAAAACUCUGUUAUUAGGGAAGAACAAAUGUGUAAGUAACUAUGCACGUCUUGACGGUACCUAAUCAGAAAGCCACGGCUAACUACGUGCCAGCAGCCGCGGUAAUACGUAGGUGGCAAGCGUUAUCCGGAAUUAUUGGGCGUAAAGCGCGCGUAGGCGGUUUUUUAAGUCUGAUGUGAAAGCCCACGGCUCAACCGUGGAGGGUCAUUGGAAACUGGAAAACUUGAGUGCAGAAGAGGAAAGUGGAAUUCCAUGUGUAGCGGUGAAAUGCGCAGAGAUAUGGAGGAACACCAGUGGCGAAGGCGACUUUCUGGUCUGUAACUGACGCUGAUGUGCGAAA
RNAcentral lists this ribosomal RNA (720 nucleotides) under uncultured Staphylococcus sp. Its description in RNAcentral is "bacterial SSU rRNA". It matches the Rfam family "Bacterial small subunit ribosomal RNA", at positions 56 to 758 of the family's 1533-position model. The record is from RNAcentral. Lineage: Bacteria; Bacillati; Bacillota; Bacilli; Caryophanales; Staphylococcaceae.